Molecule: long non-coding RNA, 778 nt
Organism: Planococcus citri (citrus mealybug)
Lineage: Eukaryota; Metazoa; Arthropoda; Insecta; Hemiptera; Pseudococcidae
Exons: 3
Source: RefSeq, a predicted model, not a curated record
ACCCUGUAUUAGAAAUAUGCAACAAUUGUAACUCUUGCUUAUCAGUACUAUCGUUAUCAAACACGUUUCAUCUUCGCAAGUCGACGACGCCAAUGACCGAAUGACGCCAUCCAUUGCAAUCGUUUGAUCAUAUUGUGAUUUGUGAAUGUGAAAGUUGAAGUUAAUUAUUAGAUUGUUGAAGAAUUUCCUCGUUCAAUUCAGGGAUCAUUCUGUGAAAGUAUCGAGUCAAGUACAUUGUUGCAGAGCUCUGUCACGUCCUUCGAAGUUUUGAAUAUUAUUUUGAUAAAAUUAAGAGUAGGAGACGUCUUGGAUUGAAAAUAUUAAAUCUGCAGAGUGCAGAUACUUCUACUUCUUUGUCAUCGUUCUUCCGACCUUCGGCUUCUACUCCCGUGACACGGAAGAAGCACCAAAAGUGGCUUUAUCAAACGUCUUUGAUCAAAUAAUGUCAAUUUCACCAAGAGAGUUGGACUUGAUGGACAACUCAUAUCACGAUAAGUUCACAUCUGUAAAAUGGCGAAUAUGUGUAAUUCAAAAAUACGUAUAAUAUUGCAAUAUUAGCAUAUUGACCAUCUUGGAUCGUGGAAGCAUCGUUUCGUUUUGUUCAUCCGUGGGUGAGUGAAAAUUUCAUUCUACGUAUUUACUCGUACCUAGCACAUUUAUGUCAUAUGAAUGUGGAAUUGUGGAUAAAUAUUGUAUGGUUUCUGCAAGCAGCGAAUAAGUACAUAUUGGUAAUAUGCUAUAUCUACCUAUAAUAGACAAUUUAUUCUUAUUUCCAAGU